Non-coding RNA from Oryzias latipes (Japanese medaka), 954 nucleotides. NCBI's taxonomy places the organism in Eukaryota, Metazoa, Chordata, Actinopteri, Beloniformes, Adrianichthyidae. The record is from RefSeq and is a predicted model, not a curated record.
AAUUCAAGGCUUCACGGGAUGCAUUUGCUCCAGUGCCAUAUCAUGUUUCUCUCCCUCGAAAAGUAUUUCAAAGUUGUUUCUUUUCCUGUGUUCGAGUGUAAGAGGUUUCCUUUCUGUCAGCUGACUUAAAGGAAAAACUGUUACAUUUGAAUCUUGCUGUGUGCUGUGAUAAUAUAACCUGCCUUCCUGAUGUCCACCAACACUUUUAUCUCGUUUUGCCUGAAGGAUUUCCAGAUAGCACGUGGAGUUCAAACACUCUGCAGGCGGAACAGACUCUCCGCAGGAGGCCGGGCACAUAUGUGGAAUAUUAUGGAUAAGAAAAGCAGAGCUGACAUCCCUGCCAGGAAAACGCAAAAUGAGGAGGCGUGAACUUGUCAACAGUUGAUAAGACAGAAGCCGGGAAGACACUUCUUAACCAAAUAAGCUUUUAGUUGUCGAACUUUAAAGGAAAUGUGUGAAGCUUCAGCUCCACGUUGAAAAGCUGUUUUAUCUUUAUUUUUCCGGUGCGAGUAUCUCUGCUUCACCCAGAGAAUGUGAUGUCUGUGAUUUUGGUUAACCUGCCAUGAGAAAAGAUGCAAAUGAGGCAGGUGGCAAGGACUGACAUGCAAAGUGUGCCCUUUUAUAUGCAAAGUUGGAUGGGAAAAGCACAAGCUGAUAAGCACAAAGACAAACUCACAUUUUUGUGUUUCAAGUUAUCUUGCAUUGAAUGAAUAUGUUUUUUUUUAUUUGUUUUAAACCUCUUGUACAGCCUUGAACAUUAAUAUUGUUCUGCUCCACCUCCUGCAACUUCCUAUUUCAAUUUCCAAAUUGUGUCCUUGAAUGUGAACAUGUGAGCCUGCAGGACUCGAAAGGCUGAUGGAUAAAAACAUGUGCUUCCUGACAGGCACGAGCGUGCGUGCAUGACUUGUCGACUUUGCACUGAACUAGAGUAUUUUUGAAAAGUUCUGUUGCUGU